This 387-nucleotide ribosomal RNA is filed under the name Saccharomyces sp. RNAcentral describes it as "partial small subunit ribosomal RNA". It matches the Rfam family "Eukaryotic small subunit ribosomal RNA", at positions 582 to 975 of the family's 1831-position model. The record is from RNAcentral. Lineage: Eukaryota; Fungi; Ascomycota; Saccharomycetes; Saccharomycetales; Saccharomycetaceae.
AUUCCAGCUCCAAUAGCGUAUAUUAAAGUUGUUGCAGUUAAAAAGCUCGUAGUUGAACUUUGGGCCCGGUUGGCCGGUCCGAUUUUUUCGUGUACUGGAUUUCCAACGGGGCCUUUCCUUCUGGCUAACCUUGAGUCCUUGUGGCUCUUGGCGAACCAGGACUUUUACUUUGAAAAAAUUAGAGUGUUCAAAGCAGGCGUAUUGCUCGAAUAUAUUAGCAUGGAAUAAUAGAAUAGGACGUUUGGUUCUAUCUUGUUGGUUUCUAGGACCAUCGUAAUGAUUAAUAGGGACGGUCGGGGGCAUCAGUAUUCAAUUGUCAGAGGUGAAAUUCUUGGAUUUAUUGAAGACUAACUACUGCGAAAGCAUUUGCCAAGGACGUUUUCAUUG